AUGACAUUUUCUAAGGAAAUCAAUCUGAAGAUUUUCUUCCCACACCUAUUAAGAAUACCAGAAGUUGUUUUGACGAAGUAAAGGAUUAAGUGUGCAUGCAGCUGCUACCCUCUGUGUCUUGUUGACAUGUGACAAAAUCGUGGGUGCUUAGGACCACAGCAGACUGACAGAAAUGACUGCAGGAAUGGGCUGCCUCAGACUGAGGUGGAGUGAGCCUCCAUGUGCAGGCAUUUUGGAUUCUUGGGAUAUAGUGGGAGACAGGAACGGAAAAAUAGUCAAAGAAAUCUGAAGAGGAGACAAAGUCCUGAACUUCGGGAGGGAUGCCUGGUGCUGAUGCUGAGGUCUGGCCCACGGAGCCUGAAGGUUACACUGAACCUAGAGAUCAUCUACCCAAGGGAUUCUCUGAUCACCACCCUCUCACAGCUUGGAUUACAGGCAUGAGCUACAAGACCCUGCUUUUUAUACCAUACUGGGGACCAACACUUGAAUCUUUAUGCUUGCAUGGCAAGCACUUUUCAGACUGAGGCAUCCCCCCAUUCCACCCAUAUGCAUUCUUGAAAAAGGGAAUCAGACUUUUGCUCGAAGCUGGCCUUUUAAGUGGACAGAGUGAGAUUUCAGUUCAACAUCUCCCCACUCCUUCUCAGCAAGAUCUGAAAUUCCUGUCUCUAGGAACAGUGUUUUGUUUCACAAUGGAAAGGAAUGAGCUUGAAACACAGAGGCUGGCGUUCUGAAUCACAGAUGGUGAAUGGGCAGUGUUUAUCCGUGUUGGUGAGCAGCACCAUGUCCCUUGAGAUGAAUGGGAAGUUAAAGCACAAGAAAGCCCACAGUGCCUGAUAAGGUGCAGAGAGAUUCAACAGGAAGAGGAGGAAGGAAGAGCAGGGUGAUGAUGUCAAAGACCAAGCCUAACUCCACAGUUUGCUCAAAGGCAACUCAGUCCAGUUUGAAGUCACCUGGACACCUAGAGCCAGUGUGUGUUCAGAUGUGGGCCUAGGAAGACCAGCAAUGAAGAAGCAAGCUUGACAAGUGCACAUGACCAGGGCCCAGAACAGCCCCAUUAACUGCACUUCAAAUACUGGCUAAGCCAAAAGGAAUGGUCUUCAAACCUGCCUGCCUUAAAAGCUCCACUCAGUUCAGUUAUACACAGCAAAUGUCAUCCUCUCCUAAAACAGCCUGUGACAAUGAAAAGGUUCCAUCUUCAACACAGUGAUUUACUUUUCUGGGAGAGACCUUGAAAGCACAAAGGAAAGUUUAAUUCAGG
Molecule: long non-coding RNA, 1258 nt
Filed under: Cricetulus griseus (Chinese hamster)
Lineage: Eukaryota; Metazoa; Chordata; Mammalia; Rodentia; Cricetidae
Description: lncRNA (ENSCGRG00015043215.1)
Source: RNAcentral